This 588-nucleotide ribosomal RNA is filed under the name Triticum aestivum (bread wheat). RNAcentral's name for it is "partial small subunit ribosomal RNA". Lineage: Eukaryota; Viridiplantae; Streptophyta; Magnoliopsida; Poales; Poaceae. The record is from RNAcentral.
AUGUCACUUAGUCAUAUCUGCCUCGCAGCGGGAAAUUCAGUGGUUGACUUGGACAGCAGGCGGGUUACACGUUCCACUGUGCCGAGAUGUGAGGUGCAGGUGGUGAUGAUCACCCCGGGGUAUGCGCUAGCGCCCUUGACGGGCACUCCAGGACCCGCCUACGUUCGUGAAAACCCAGGUAGGGCGGUUCGCUUGAGUUGCUCAACCGUCCCUUUGCCCGGUGCUCAUGACGCGCUACAGAACCUCCACCGUGCUAGCGGCAUAGGAGCCUACUCAGCGUCAGCGGCUUCGUGCCGCACUGGAGUGAUCCAAUAUGUGGUUCCGCAUGUUCCACCACUUCUCCGUUCAUUUCCAAUACUGAUCGUGAAACACCAUGAGCAGCAGGAUGUUGAGUCAGUCAGUGCCCUCGAUUAUUCUAUUCCUGAUAGAAGGAUCAUGGAGCCCCGGAAGCAUUCCAUCCAGCAGCAUCAUCUCCUUCAACCACGCGAGGACAAAACUGAUGUUAGCUACAUUCGACCGUUCACCGCACAGAGGCGAUCUCGAACACUACCUAUGAUAAUAAAUCCAAAGGAAAGGUCGACAAAAUGA